GAGGGUAUAGCUGUGUGGUAGAAUGUGUGCUUUGCAUGCAUGAGGUCCUGGGUUCAAUCCCAGUACCUUCA
RNAcentral lists this transfer RNA (71 nucleotides) under Camelus bactrianus (Bactrian camel). It matches the Rfam family "tRNA". Rfam says of the family: Transfer RNA (tRNA) molecules are approximately 80 nucleotides in length. Their secondary structure includes four short double-helical elements and three loops (D, anti-codon, and T loops). Further hydrogen bonds mediate the characteristic L-shaped molecular structure. tRNAs have two regions of fundamental functional importance: the anti-codon, which is responsible for specific mRNA codon recognition, and the 3' end, to which the tRNAs corresponding amino acid is attached (by aminoacyl-tRNA synthetases). tRNAs cope with the degeneracy of the genetic code in two manners: having more than one tRNA (with a specific anti-codon) for a particular amino acid; and 'wobble' base-pairing, i.e. permitting non-standard base-pairing at the 3rd anti-codon position. RNAcentral also lists the same sequence under 1 other name. Lineage: Eukaryota; Metazoa; Chordata; Mammalia; Artiodactyla; Camelidae. The record is from Rfam by way of RNAcentral.